RNAcentral lists this transfer RNA (83 nucleotides) under Felis catus (domestic cat). It matches the Rfam family "tRNA". From Rfam's summary of the family: Transfer RNA (tRNA) molecules are approximately 80 nucleotides in length. Lineage: Eukaryota; Metazoa; Chordata; Mammalia; Carnivora; Felidae. The record is from Rfam by way of RNAcentral.
GCCUGGGUGGCUCAGGGUUAAGCGUCUGACUUUGGCUCAGGUCAUGAUCUUACGGUUCGUGGGUUCAAGCCCCAUGUUGGGCU